RNAcentral lists this ribosomal RNA (393 nucleotides) under uncultured bacterium. Its description in RNAcentral is "partial 16S ribosomal RNA". It matches the Rfam family "Bacterial small subunit ribosomal RNA", at positions 523 to 918 of the family's 1533-position model. The record is from RNAcentral.
AUACGGAGGAUCCGAGCGUUAUCCGGAUUUAUUGGGUUUAAAGGGAGCGUAGGAGGAUUGUUAAGUCAGUUGUGAAAGUUUGCGGCUCAACCGUAAAAUUGCAGUUGAAACUGGCAGUCUUGAGUACAGUAGAGGUGGGCGGAAUUCGGGGUGUCGCGGUGAAAUGCUUAGAUAUCACGAAGAACUCCGAUUGCGAAGGCAGCUCACCAGACCGUUACUGACACUGAUGCUCGAAAGUGUGGGUAUCAAACAGGAUUAGAUACCCUGGUAGUCCACACAGUAAACGAUGAAUACUCGCUGUUUGCGAUAUACAGUAAGCGGCCAAGCGAAAGCAUUAAGUAUUCCACCUGGGGAGUACGCCGGCAACGGUGAAACUCAAAUGAAUUGGCGGGG